CCCAACCUUAAUGUGGAUUAGCCGGCAGUGUCGUCAGUCCUGUUGACCCCUCACAAUGGGGGAUUUCAUUGGCGCAAUGAAGUGUCGGUCAUUUGGUCACCCGACGUCGCGUGGCGCAAUUGGCCGGUUAGCAUGUCAGUCAUCCCGCCCCCUAUCUGAGGUGACGGGAAGGGGUUGGGAAAUCCCCAAUCGAUAUUUCAAUGCUGGCGAGAAUGACGCCCAGGGAUAGGUGAGGUUUGGAAUAGCAUUCACUCUCCAGUUGGUUGGGCUUCCGUGGCAAAGGCCCAAAGAACCAGAGAAGGAGGGGUAAGAAGAGGGCAACGCAAUUUCUAGGCGCCGCUCUGAGACAGGCGCGGAAACUAUGGCCGGUCAGAGAAAGUGCGCUCUAUGAUUGGAGGAAGAAAUGCUGUCAGUCAACGAAGGGCCCCGCCCCUCCUGUCGGACUAUGAUUGGAAGAACUGGCUGUCAGUCAGUACAAAUGAGCUCCGCCUCUUGGGCAGGUUGCCCCUUCAAACCUUAAAGUCUUUGGAUCAAUGAAGAUAAAAAGCAGAAAGAACCCUCAAGAGCAGCCCUGUAAUGUGUGGCAUUGGUCACAAGAAUUUGUGACAGAGUCACGGCUCUCUGUGAAGACCAGAAUGAAGAACUGAGAAGAGAAAUAAGUCAAAUACUAGAGGCAGAGAGUACAUUCCCCCAAAUGUCCAUUAUCCACCUCUUGCUCAGCCCCCCUACUGAAGUGACCCAGACCCUGAACACUUUUUAAUUUUAGACGAUAAUAAAAUUUGUAUUCAUU
Molecule: long non-coding RNA, 790 nt
Organism: Antechinus flavipes (yellow-footed antechinus)
Lineage: Eukaryota; Metazoa; Chordata; Mammalia; Dasyuromorphia; Dasyuridae
Exons: 2
Source: RefSeq, a predicted model, not a curated record